Molecule: ribosomal RNA, 1496 nt
Filed under: uncultured bacterium
Lineage: Bacteria
Description: 16S ribosomal RNA
Rfam family: Bacterial small subunit ribosomal RNA
Source: RNAcentral
AGAGUUUGAUCAUGGCUCAGGACGAACGCUGGCGGCGUGCCUAACACAUGCAAGUCGAGCGAAGUAUCUUGGAGUGGAGUCUUCGGACGAAGCGAAAAGAUAUCUUAGCGGCGGACGGGUGAGUAACGCGUGAAGAACCUGCCUUUCACAAAGGGAUAGCCUCGGGAAACUGGGAUUAAUACCUUAUGAUACUUUUAAACCACAUGGUUUUAAAGUCAAAGCGUAAAGCGGUGAAAGAUGGCUUCGCGUCCCAUUAGUUAGUUGGUGAGGUAACGGCUCACCAAGACUGCGAUGGGUAGCCGGCCUGAGAGGGUGAACGGCCACACUGGAACUGAGACACGGUCCAGACUCCUACGGGAGGCAGCAGUGGGGAAUAUUGCACAAUGGAGGAAACUCUGAUGCAGCGACGCCGCGUGAACGAUGAAGGCCUUCGGGUCGUAAAGUUCUGUCCUAGGGGACGAUAAUGACGGUACCCUAGGAGGAAGCCCCGGCUAACUACGUGCCAGCAGCCGCGGUAAUACGUAGGGGGCGAGCGUUGUCCGGAAUUAUUGGGCGUAAAGGGUUCGCAGGCGGUUUUUUAAGUCAGAUGUGAAAGGUCACGGCUCAACCGUGGUAAGCAUUUGAAACUGGAAGACUUGAGUUAUGGAGAGGAAAGUGGAAUUCCUAGUGUAGCGGUGAAAUGCGUAGAUAUUAGGAGGAAUACCAGUGGCGAAGGCGACUUUCUGGACAUAUACUGACGCUGAGGAACGAAAGCGUGGGGAGCAAACAGGAUUAGAUACCCUGGUAGUCCACGCCGUAAACGAUGAGUGCUAGGUGUUGGGGGUCAAACCUCGGUGCCGCAGCUAACGCAUUAAGCACUCCGCCUGGGGAGUACGUACGCAAGUAUGAAACUCAAAGGAAUUGACGGGGACCCGCACAAGCAGCGGAGCAUGUGGGUUAAUUCGAAGCAACGCGAAGAACCUUACCAGGGCUUGACAUGCCACUGACCGUCCUAGAGAUAGGAUUUUACCUUCGGGUACAGUGGACACAGGUGGUGCAUGGUUGUCGUCAGCUCGUGUCGUGAGAUGUUGGGUUAAGUCCCGCAACGAGCGCAACCCUUGCCUUUAGUUGCAAACAGUUCGGCUGUGCACUCUAGAGGGACUGCCGAUGACAAAUCGGAGGAAGGUGGGGAUGACGUCAAAUCAUCAUGCCCUUUAUGUCCUGGGCUACACACGUGCUACAAUGGUCGGUACAACGAGUAGCUACCUAGCGAUAGGAUGCCAAUCUCUAAAAGCCGAUCCCAGUUCGGAUUGCAGGCUGCAACUCGCCUGCAUGAAGUCGGAGUUGCUAGUAAUCGCGAAUCAGAAUGUCGCGGUGAAUGCGUUCCCGGGUCUUGUACACACCGCCCGUCACACCAUGGAAGUUGGCAAUACCCGAAGCCAGUGGGCUAACCGUAAGGAGGCAGCUGUCGAAGGUAGGGUCAAUGACUGGGGUGAAGUCGUAACAAGGUAACCGUA